AUGCGAUACUUGGUGUGAAUUGCAGAAUCCCGUGAACCAUCGAGUCUUUGAACGCAAGUUGCGCCCGAUGCCAUUAGGUUGAGGGCACGUCUGCCUGGGUGUCACAU
This 107-nucleotide ribosomal RNA is filed under the name Lathyrus oleraceus (garden pea). RNAcentral describes it as "Pisum sativum (pea) partial 5.8S ribosomal RNA". It matches the Rfam family "5.8S ribosomal RNA", at positions 53 to 154 of the family's 154-position model. From Rfam's summary of the family: 5.8S ribosomal RNA (5.8S rRNA) is a component of the large subunit of the eukaryotic ribosome. It is transcribed by RNA polymerase I as part of the 45S precursor that also contains 18S and 28S rRNA. The record is from RNAcentral. Lineage: Eukaryota; Viridiplantae; Streptophyta; Magnoliopsida; Fabales; Fabaceae. RNAcentral also lists the same sequence under 1 other name.